This is a long non-coding RNA of Eupeodes corollae, 1397 nucleotides long. RefSeq lists it as uncharacterized. Lineage: Eukaryota; Metazoa; Arthropoda; Insecta; Diptera; Syrphidae. The record is from RefSeq and is a predicted model, not a curated record. The transcript has 4 exons.
CAGACCAAAAUUCUUUAUAAUGAAGAGGGUAUAUACAAGUUUACUUCAUUGAAUAAAAAUUAAGUCAAACUGCAGUGAAGGAGGUGCAACAAUAAUGGAUUUAUUUUAUAUUCUUUCUUUUCAUUUUAGAUAGUGCCAAAAUGCAGGAAGCAAUUUCCUUUAAGUAAUUUGGAAAGCAAACCAAACAAGGCGCUGAUUUGCAGAUACUCCCCAUUGUUUUUGUAUGUACUUCUCAACUGCAAUAGCUGCCGCAGGUGUUGACGGCGGAGGUGUCACCAUCAAAACCAUUAGAAACAACACGACCAAGUUAAUGAUGCAAGUGGAAGUUUUGCCAUGUAAUAAUCGACCGCUGACGCCCUUCUCGAUCAAUUGUGUAAGUACGUAACGAAACAUUCAUAUCGUAGUCAACUAGCUUAAUCUUCAUCUUCUAGGUGUAAAGAGUACUACCAGUCUGCAGUUCUGCAAGAGACUCAAACAAAACAAGAAUACAAUCGCAGGAAGACUCCAAAAAAUGUCCAACCCUGACUGUAAGUGAGUUCAAAUUUUAAAUCUACAACGAAUCCAUUCAUUUUGCUCCUAAGGAUCGCACUGGCUUGACGGUGUCAAUCAUUCGGAGGCAAAUGAGCUGGCCCGACAAGAAUCCCCCAAGAAGCCAAACAGAUUCAGAUCAGUCUCUCGGCAGCUACUGACAAUGUCGGCGAAUUAAAUCCAUCGAUUUUCAUACAGAAAAUCAACAUCAAAAAAAUCACGACAAUUCAGCAGCGUCAUGGUCAACCUGUCGAUCAACCAUUCACAGUGAACAACCUCUAUUCGUAGCAGAAGCGAUCUCUACGUUGUCGACAAUGCGAACACAAUGUCAUCAAGCCGGAGUACCAUCCAGGAUCGAUCAAGUAUCGCAUUCAAUUGUUUGCUAACUACCAUGUGCCAGACGUUCUGCUUGUCCGUUGUGAAAAGCCACUGAAGCCUGGCACGUCCACUGAAUUGAUCCUCAAGCUAACUAACCCAACGAUGUACCAUAUGACCACAACCAUUAUGAAAGUGCUAACCAAGGAAGAAGAACGGCGAAUGAUCGACUUCGAAUAAAAGUUCAACGAAAGGAACCAAAAUUCACCACUUGGAGAAAGUCCAAUAACGUAACAAUUAAAUUGAACUUCACACCUGAAGAAGGAUUGAAACCAGGCGAUGAUGUUACCCUUAGUUUCUUGAUAAAAUAUACUUUUGUGAAUACCUACACGCCCGAAAAGAAAGAAUGUCAAAAACACGCAUUAUCAUCGAAAGUUUUUGUAAAAGUUGGUCAAAUUGAAGCCUAGAUCUAGAAAAUAAUCUUUUUUGCAAAAAACUUGUUUAUUUAUUUUGAGCUAUACUGUAAUUUUGUAUAUAUUGUAUAUUCUAUUGUU